UUUCGGUACGAAAAUACAUCACAGGCCACUAUGUUAUUUAAUAUCAUUCUUCUCGAAGACUAAUGAUUGUUACAUCCUACUAAAAUGAUGUUCUGUCCUCAGAGAUGUCUCGUUGCUUAUGAGGAAGCAGCAAAUAAACACUUGAAAAAAGCUCUCGUCCUCGAAGAUGCAAUAUCUGAUUUACCCAAGGUUCAGAACCAUCAGCCUAAUGAUGUCAUGGAGUAUGGCAGUGACCCCAAAACAGAGUUCCAACGCUAUAUCCGGCUCAGCAGUAAAGGUGUGACCUAUUGAAUGUGCAAGCUUAAUGCCAGCAACUAGUUUCUUUAUAAUGAUUUUUUUCUCUGUUAUGCCUUCUGUCUUUGCAUAUGCAGAGUUAUGUUUUUUUUAUUUCAAUCAUGUGGGUGGGUUUCAUGAUU
Molecule: non-coding RNA, 416 nt
Organism: Aegilops tauschii subsp. strangulata
Lineage: Eukaryota; Viridiplantae; Streptophyta; Magnoliopsida; Poales; Poaceae
Source: RefSeq, a predicted model, not a curated record